RNAcentral lists this transfer RNA (73 nucleotides) under Tsuga heterophylla (western hemlock). Its description in RNAcentral is "tRNA-Ile". RNAcentral also lists the same sequence under 3 other names. The record is from RNAcentral. Lineage: Eukaryota; Viridiplantae; Streptophyta; Pinopsida; Pinales; Pinaceae.
UCCUCAGUAGCUCAGUGGUAGAGCGGUCGGCUGUUAAAGGCGUAAGUCAUCGGUUCAAGUCCGAUAAAGGGCU